Long non-coding RNA from Corvus hawaiiensis (hawaiian crow), 264 nucleotides. RefSeq lists it as uncharacterized. The transcript is spliced from 3 exons. Lineage: Eukaryota; Metazoa; Chordata; Aves; Passeriformes; Corvidae. The record is from RefSeq and is a predicted model, not a curated record.
GUAUCAAGGCAGAAGAAUUAAAUUCAAGAUAUCUGUAGCAAAGAGAUCUCUGCUGAACUGAUUUUUCCAAAUAAACAUAUCCCAUACCCCAUAUUUCCAUGACUGAUUGCCAAGUCUACAUCUACUGACUGUGAAUAUUCUUAGAGAGUUAUAGAAAGCAAAGCAACUGUCUAACACAUCAAAAUUUAGAGCAAGUCCUUUAAAUGGGUGAGAAAUUACACAUCUCACAGCUUUCAAGAAGUGAAGCUUUCUUUGGAAAAAGAA